This 1512-nucleotide ribosomal RNA is filed under the name uncultured bacterium. RNAcentral describes it as "bacterial SSU rRNA". It matches the Rfam family "Bacterial small subunit ribosomal RNA". The record is from RNAcentral.
AUUAGAGUUUGAUCAUGGCUCAGAUUGAACGCUGGCGGCAGGCCUAACACAUGCAAGUCGAACGGUAGCACAGAGAGCUUGCUCUCGGGUGACGAGUGGCGGACGGGUGAGUAAUGUCUGGGAAACUGCCUGAUGGAGGGGGAUAACUACUGGAAACGGUAGCUAAUACCGCAUAACGUCGCAAGACCAAAGAGGGGGACCUUCGGGCCUCUUGCCAUCAGAUGUGCCCAGAUGGGAUUAGCUAGUAGGUGGGGUAAUGGCUCACCUAGGCGACGAUCCCUAGCUGGUCUGAGAGGAUGACCAGCCACACUGGAACUGAGACACGGUCCAGACUCCUACGGGAGGCAGCAGUGGGGAAUAUUGCACAAUGGGCGCAAGCCUGAUGCAGCCAUGCCGCGUGUAUGAAGAAGGCCUUCGGGUUGUAAAGUACUUUCAGCGGGGAGGAAGGUGUUGUGGUUAAUAACCGCAGCAAUUGACGUUACCCGCAGAAGAAGCACCGGCUAACUCCGUGCCAGCAGCCGCGGUAAUACGGAGGGUGCAAGCGUUAAUCGGAAUUACUGGGCGUAAAGCGCACGCAGGCGGUCUGUCAAGUCGGAUGUGAAAUCCCCGGGCUCAACCUGGGAACUGCAUUCGAAACUGGCAGGCUAGAGUCUUGUAGAGGGGGGUAGAAUUCCAGGUGUAGCGGUGAAAUGCGUAGAGAUCUGGAGGAAUACCGGUGGCGAAGGCGGCCCCCUGGACAAAGACUGACGCUCAGGUGCGAAAGCGUGGGGAGCAAACAGGAUUAGAUACCCUGGUAGUGCACGCCGUAAACGAUGUCGACUUGGAGGUUGUGCCCUUGAGGCGUGGCUUCCGGAGCUAACGCGUUAAGUCGACCGCCUGGGGAGUACGGCCGCAAGGUUAAAACUCAAAUGAAUUGACGGGGGCCCGCACAAGCGGUGGAGCAUGUGGUUUAAUUCGAUGCAACGCGAAGAACCUUACCUACUCUUGACAUCCAGAGAACUUUCCAGAGAUGGAUUGGUGCCUUCGGGAACUCUGAGACAGGUGCUGCAUGGCUGUCGUCAGCUCGUGUUGUGAAAUGUUGGGUUAAGUCCCGCAACGAGCGCAACCCUUAUCCUUUGUUGCCAGCGGUCCGGCCGGGAACUCAAAGGAGACUGCCAGUGAUAAACUGGAGGAAGGUGGGGAUGACGUCAAGUCAUCAUGGCCCUUACGAGUAGGGCUACACACGUGCUACAAUGGCGCAUACAAAGAGAAGCGACCUCGCGAGAGCAAGCGGACCUCAUAAAGUGCGUCGUAGUCCGGAUUGGAGUCUGCAACUCGACUCCAUGAAGUCGGAAUCGCUAGUAAUCGUAGAUCAGAAUGCUACGGUGAAUACGUUCCCGGGCCUUGUACACACCGCCCGUCACACCAUGGGAGUGGGUUGCAAAAGAAGUAGGUAGCUUAACCUUCGGGAGGGCGCUUACCACUUUGUGAUUCAUGACUGGGGUGAAGUCGUAACAAGGUAACCGUAGAAUC